UCUCCGUUGGUGAACCAGCGGAGGGAUCAUUACUGGAAUCGCAAGAUCCCACAACCCUGUGAACCUACCGAAACGCUGCCUCGGCGGGUGCCCGGCCUCUGCGCCGGGCGCUGCGCCCGCCGGCGGCCCCCUACUCUGUCUCUGCAGCGUGGCAUCUCAGAGUCCCAGAAAACAAGUCAAAACUUUCAACAACGGAUCUCUUGGCUCUA
Molecule: unclassified non-coding RNA, 209 nt
Filed under: plant metagenome
Description: partial contains small subunit ribosomal RNA, internal transcribed spacer 1, and 5.8S ribosomal RNA
Source: RNAcentral